GACGAACGCUGGCGGCGUGCUUAACACAUGCAAGUCGAACGGAAAGGCCCCCUUGUGGGGUACUCGAGUGGCGAACGGGUGAGUAACACGUGAGUAACCUACCCUUGACUUUGGGAUAACUUCAGGAAACUGGGGCUAAUACCGGAUAGGAGCUCCUGCUGCAUGGUGGGGGUUGGAAAGUUUCGGCGGUUGGGGAUGGACUCGCGGCUUAUCAGCUUGUUGGUGGGGUAGUGGCUCACCAAGGCUUUGACGGGUAGCCGGCCUGAGAGGGUGACCGGCCACAUUGGGACUGAGAUACGGCCCAGACUCCUACGGGAGGCAGCAGUGGGGAAUAUUGCACAAUGGGAGGAAGCCUGAUGCAGCAACGCCGCGUGCGGGAUGACGGCCUUCGGGUUGUAAACCGCUUUCGCCUGUGACGAAGCGUGAGUGACGGUAAUGGGUAAAGAAGCACCGGCUAACUACGUG
This 465-nucleotide ribosomal RNA is filed under the name uncultured bacterium. Its description in RNAcentral is "partial 16S ribosomal RNA". It matches the Rfam family "Bacterial small subunit ribosomal RNA", at positions 28 to 507 of the family's 1533-position model. The record is from RNAcentral.